GUGGUAAUGCCGGAUGCUCCAGUUGACCGCAUGGUCCUCUGGGAAAGCUUCUGCGGUAUGGGAUGGGGUCGCGUCCUAUCAGCUUGAUGGCGGGGUAACGGCCCACCAUGGCUUCGACGGGUAGCCGGCCUGAGAGGGCGACCGGCCACAUUGGGACUGAGAUACGGCCCAGACUCCUACGGGAGGCAGCAGUGGGGAAUAUUGCACAAUGGGCGCAAGCCUGAUGCAGCGACGCCGCGUGCGGGAUGACGGCCUUCGGGUUGUAAACCGCUUUUGACUGGGAGCAAGCCCUUCGGGGUGAGUGUACCUUUCGAAUAAGCACCGGCUAACUACGUGCCAGCAGCCGCGGUAAUACGUAGGGUGCAAGCGUUAUCCGGAAUUAUUGGGCGUAAAGGGCUCGUAGGCGGUUCGUCGCGUCCGGUGUGAAAGUCCAUCGCUUAACGGUGGAUCCGCGCCGGGUACGGGCGGGCUUGAGUGCGGUAGGGGAGACUGGAAUUCCCGGUGUAACGGUGGAAUGUGUAGAUAUC
This 527-nucleotide ribosomal RNA is filed under the name Bifidobacterium adolescentis. Its description in RNAcentral is "partial 16S ribosomal RNA". It matches the Rfam family "Bacterial small subunit ribosomal RNA", at positions 160 to 698 of the family's 1533-position model. Lineage: Bacteria; Bacillati; Actinomycetota; Actinomycetes; Bifidobacteriales; Bifidobacteriaceae. The record is from RNAcentral.